RNAcentral lists this ribosomal RNA (777 nucleotides) under uncultured bacterium. RNAcentral describes it as "bacterial SSU rRNA". It matches the Rfam family "Bacterial small subunit ribosomal RNA", at positions 1 to 779 of the family's 1533-position model. The record is from RNAcentral.
UAGAGUUUGAUCAUGGCUCAGAUUGAACGCUGGCGGCAUGCUUUACACAUGCAAGUCGAGCGGCAGCGCGGGGGCAACCCUGGCGGCGAGCGGCGAACGGGUGAGUAAUACAUCGGAACGUGUCCCGUAGUGGGGGAUAGCUCGGCGAAAGCCGGAUUAAUACCGCAUACGAUCUACGGAUGAAAGCGGGGGACCGCAAGGCCUCGCGCUAUGGGGGCGGCCGAUGUCCGAUUAGCUAGUUGGUGGGGUAAAGGCCUACCAAGGCGACGAUCGGUAGCUGGUCUGAGAGGAUGAUCAGCCACACUGGGACUGAGACACGGCCCAGACCCCUACGGGAGGCAGCAGUGGGGAAUUUUGGACAAUGGGGGAAACCCUGAUCCAGCCAUGCCGCGUGAGUGAAGAAGGCCUUCGGGUUGUAAAGCUCUUUUGGCCGGAAAGAAAAGGCUACGGAUAACACCCGUGGUCCUUGACGGUACCGGCAGAAUAAGCACCGGCUAACUACGUGCCAGCAGCCGCGGUAAUACGUAGGGUGCGAGCGUUAAUCGGAAUUACUGGGCGUAAAGCGUGCGUAGGCGGUCCCGCAAGUCCGCUGUGAAAGCCCCGAGCUUAACUUGGGAACUGCAGUGGAAACUAUGGGACUUGAAUCCGGCAGAGGGGGGUGGAAUGCCACGUGUAGCAGUGAAAUGCGUAGAGAUGUGGCGGAACACCGAUGGCGAAGGCAGCCCCCUGGGCUGAGAUUGACGCUCAGGCACGAAAGCGUGGGGAGCAAACAGGAUU